CAGUCGCCGCGGUAACACGGAGGGAGCUAGCGUUGUUCGGAAUUACUGGGCGUAAAGCGCGCGUAGGCGGUUACUCAAGUCAGAGGUGAAAGCCCGGGGCUCAACCCCGGAACUGCCUUUGAAACUAGGUGACUAGAAUCUUGGAGAGGUCAGUGGAAUUCCGAGUGUAGAGGUGAAAUUCGUAGAUAUUCGGAAGAACACCAGUGGCGAAGGCGACUGACUGGACAAGUAUUGACGCUGAGGUGCGAAAGCGUGGGGAGCAAACAGGAUUAGAUACCCGAGUAGUCCCUGUCUCUUAUAC
This 301-nucleotide ribosomal RNA is filed under the name uncultured bacterium. Its description in RNAcentral is "partial 16S ribosomal RNA". It matches the Rfam family "Bacterial small subunit ribosomal RNA", at positions 509 to 807 of the family's 1533-position model. The record is from RNAcentral.